CCCUGCCCUUUGUACACACCGCCCGUCGCUACUACCGAUUGAAUGGUUUAGUGAGAUCUCCGGAUGGGCGUCUCAUCGCUGGAAACGGUGGAGAGAUGACCAGAAGUUGCUCAAACUUGAUCAUUUAG
This 128-nucleotide ribosomal RNA is filed under the name uncultured eukaryote. RNAcentral's name for it is "partial small subunit ribosomal RNA". It matches the Rfam family "Eukaryotic small subunit ribosomal RNA", at positions 1651 to 1776 of the family's 1831-position model. The record is from RNAcentral.